Molecule: unclassified non-coding RNA, 238 nt
Filed under: uncultured fungus
Lineage: Eukaryota; Fungi
Description: partial contains 5.8S ribosomal RNA, internal transcribed spacer 2, and large subunit ribosomal RNA
Source: RNAcentral
AACGCACAUUGCGCCCCUUGGUAUUCCGGGGGGCAUGCCCGUUCGAGCGUCAUUACACCCCUCAAGCAUAGCUUGGUUUUGAGGCCCGCGGUCCGCCGCGCCCUCUGAAUUCAACCGGCUGGUCUUGUGGUCUCUCAGCGUUGUGGUAACCUAUCCGCUUGCGAGUCGGGGGGCGUCUGGCCGUUAAACUCACUCAAAGGUUGACCUCGGAUCAGGUAGGGAUACCCGCUGAACUUAA